This 474-nucleotide ribosomal RNA is filed under the name uncultured organism. Its description in RNAcentral is "partial 16S ribosomal RNA". It matches the Rfam family "Bacterial small subunit ribosomal RNA", at positions 330 to 796 of the family's 1533-position model. The record is from RNAcentral.
CGUACACUCCUGCGGGAGGCAGCAGUGGGGAAUUUUGGACAAUGGGCGAAAGCCUGAUCCAGCCAUGCCGCGUGCAGGAUGAAGGCCUUCGGGUUGUAAACUGCUUUUGUACGGAACGAAACGGCCUUUUCUAAUAAAGAGGGCUAAUGACGGUACCGUAAGAAUAAGCACCGGCUAACUACGUGCCAGCAGCCGAGGUAAUAAGUAGGGUGCAAGCGUUAAUCGGAAUUACUGGGCGUAAAGCGUGCGCAGGCGGUUAUUUAAGACAGUUGUGAAAUCCCCGGGCUCAACCUGGGAACUGCAUCUGUGACUGCAUAGCUAGAGUACGGUAGAGGGGGAUGGAAUUCCGCGUGUAGCAGUGAAAUGCGUAGAUAUGCGGAGGAACACCGAUGGCGAAGGCAAUCCCCUGGACCUGUACUGACGCUCAUGCACGAAAGCGUGGGGAGCAAACAGGAUUAGAAACCCUUGUAGUCU